This 943-nucleotide ribosomal RNA is filed under the name Nagrajchalara conifericola. RNAcentral describes it as "partial large subunit ribosomal RNA". It matches the Rfam family "Eukaryotic large subunit ribosomal RNA", at positions 21 to 980 of the family's 3401-position model. The record is from RNAcentral. Lineage: Eukaryota; Fungi; Ascomycota; Leotiomycetes; Helotiales.
UUACCCGCUGGAACUAAGCAUAUCAAUAAGCGGAGGAAAAGAAACCAACAGGGAUUACCUCAGUAACGGCGAGUGAAGCGGUAACAGCUCAAAUUUGAAAUCUGGCUCUUUCAGGGUCCGAGUUGUAAUUUGUAGAAGAUGCUUCGGGUGUGGCUCCGGUCUAAGUUCCUUGGAACAGGACGUCAUAGAGGGUGAGAAUCCCGUAUGUGACUGGCUGCCUCCGCCCAUGUGAAGCUCUUUCGACGAGUCGAGUUGUUUGGGAAUGCAGCUCAAAAUGGGUGGUAAAUUUCAUCUAAAGCUAAAUAUUGGCCAGAGACCGAUAGCGCACAAGUAGAGUGAUCGAAAGAUGAAAAGCACUUUGGAAAGAGAGUUAAACAGUACGUGAAAUUGUUGAAAGGGAAGCGCUUGCAAUCAGACUUGCACGUUGCCGAUCAUCCGGGGUUCUCUCCGGUGCACUCGGUUGCGUUCAGGCCAGCAUCGGUUUGGGUGGUUGGAUAAAGGCCUUGGGAAUGUAGCUUCUUUCGGGGAGUGUUAUAGCCCUCGGUGCAAUGCAGCCUACCCGGACCGAGGACCGCGCUUCGGCUAGGAUGCUGGCGUAAUGGUUGUAAGCGACCCGUCUUGAAACACGGACCAAGGAGUCUAACAUCUAUGCGAGUAUUUGGGUGUCAAACCCAUAUGCGUAAUGAAAGUGAACGGAGGUGAGAACCCUUAAGGGUGCAUCAUCGACCGGUCCUGAUGUCUUCGGAUGGAUCUGAGUAAGAGCAUAGCUGUUGGGACCCGAAAGAUGGUGAACUAUGCCUGAAUAGGGUGAAGCCAGAGGAAACUCUGGUGGAGGCUCGCAGCGGUUCUGACGUGCAAAUCGAUCGUCAAAUUUGGGUAUAGGGGCGAAAGACUAAUCGAACCAUCUAGUAGCUGGUUCCUGCCGAAGUUCCCCUCAAGGAUA